Molecule: long non-coding RNA, 295 nt
Filed under: Bemisia tabaci
Lineage: Eukaryota; Metazoa; Arthropoda; Insecta; Hemiptera; Aleyrodidae
Description: lncRNA ENSSSA1NGG005936
Source: RNAcentral
UUUCAGGUUUGUGUUACCACUUUUGCAUUUUGGUGGUGCUAGUGACAAGAUAAAAUUAAGGUUUUUGUUCUCCCUCAUAUAAUCGUGAAGGAACUCUUCACUUUAUCACAAUCUACCCAUUCUUUUGCCCUUGAUACAGUUGUCAGUAGCUCCCAUUUCUGAUGGUAAUUCAAACUUCGCGCCAUUACUCCAGACUCAUUUUCAGCGGUAUGCGUCACGUCCUGUGUUAACAGCCCUCGGUCCAGAGUUGUCAAGUUUCGUAAUAUUAAUGCACGGUUCUACGAUUCCCAGAGGC